GGAAUACCCGCUGAACUUAAGCAUAUCAUAG
This 31-nucleotide ribosomal RNA is filed under the name Trichoderma virens. Its description in RNAcentral is "partial 28S ribosomal RNA". The record is from RNAcentral. Lineage: Eukaryota; Fungi; Ascomycota; Sordariomycetes; Hypocreales; Hypocreaceae.